This is a small nucleolar RNA of Syngnathoides biaculeatus (alligator pipefish), 133 nucleotides long. RefSeq annotates it as small nucleolar RNA SNORA68. Lineage: Eukaryota; Metazoa; Chordata; Actinopteri; Syngnathiformes; Syngnathidae. The transcript has a single exon. The record is from RefSeq and is a predicted model, not a curated record.
UCCGCAGCCAAACCCAGAGGUCGCACCCUGCCGGUGGUGCGACUCAGUCCGGCGUGCGCACAGCAAGCGUCGUCCUCGUCGCCUUCCGCCGCCGCUCCCGUGCGGCUGGAAGUGAAUCUGAGGCCGCACACGG